RNAcentral lists this ribosomal RNA (468 nucleotides) under uncultured bacterium. RNAcentral's name for it is "partial 16S ribosomal RNA". It matches the Rfam family "Bacterial small subunit ribosomal RNA", at positions 28 to 507 of the family's 1533-position model. The record is from RNAcentral.
GACGAACGCUGGCGGCGUGCUUAACACAUGCAAGUCGAACGGAAAGGCCCUGCUUUUGUGGGGUGCUCGAGUGGCGAACGGGUGAGUAACACGUGAGUAACCUGCCCUUGACUUUGGGAUAACUUCAGGAAACUGGGGCUAAUACCGGAUAGGAGCUCCUGCUGCAUGGUGGGGGUUGGAAAGUUUCGGCGGUUGGGGAUGGACUCGCGGCUUAUCAGCUUGUUGGUGGGGUAGUGGCUUACCAAGGCUUUGACGGGUAGCCGGCCUGAGAGGGUGACCGGCCACAUUGGGACUGAGAUACGGACCAGACUCCUACGGGAGGCAACAGUGGGGAAUAUUGCACAAUGGGCGGAAGCCUGAUGCAGCAACGCCGCGUGCGGGAUGACGGCCUUCGGGUUGUAAACCGCUUUCGCCUGUGACGAAGCGUGAGUGACGGUAAUGGGUAAAGAAGCACCGGCUAACUACGUG